Molecule: ribosomal RNA, 433 nt
Filed under: uncultured bacterium
Lineage: Bacteria
Description: bacterial SSU rRNA
Rfam family: Bacterial small subunit ribosomal RNA
Source: RNAcentral
AACGCGAAGAACCUUACCUACCCUUGACAUGUCAGGAAUCCCGUAGAGAUAUGGGAGUGCCGCAAGGAACCUGAACACAGGUGCUGCAUGGCUGUCGUCAGCUCGUGUCGUGAGAUGUUGGGUUAAGUCCCGCAACGGGCGCAACCCUUGUCAUUAGUUGCCAUCAUUUAGUUGGGCACUCCAAUGAGACUGCCGGUGACAAACCGGAGGAAGGUGGGGAUGACGUCAAGUCCUCAUGGCCCUUAUGGGUAGGGCUUCACACGUCAUACAAUGGUCGGUACAGAGGGUUGCCAAGCCGCGAGGUGGAGCCAAUCCCAGAAAGCCGAUCGUAGUCCGGAUCGUAGUCUGCAACUCGACUACGUGAAGUCGGAAUCGCUAGUAAUCGCGGAUCAGAAUGCCGCGGUGAAUACGUUCCCGGGUCUUGUACACACCG